This 434-nucleotide ribosomal RNA is filed under the name uncultured bacterium. RNAcentral describes it as "partial 16S ribosomal RNA". It matches the Rfam family "Bacterial small subunit ribosomal RNA", at positions 29 to 507 of the family's 1533-position model. The record is from RNAcentral.
AGCGAACGCUGGCGGCAGGCCUAACACAUGCAAGUCGAACGAACCUUUCGGGGUUAGUGGCGGACGGGUGAGUAACACGUGGGAACGUGCCUUUAGGUUCGGAAUAACUCAGGGAAACUUGUGCUAAUACCGAAUGUGCCCUUCGGGGGAAAGAUUUAUCGCCUUUAGAGCGGCCCGCGUCUGAUUAGCUAGUUGGUUGAGGUAAUGGCGCACCAAGGCGACGAUCAGUAGCUGGUCUGAGAGGAUGAUCAGCCACAUUGGGACUGAGACACGGCCCAAACUCCUACGGGAGGCAGGAGUGGGGAAUCUUGCGCAAUGGGCGAAAGGCUGACGCAGCCAUGCCGGGUGAAUGAUGAAGGUCUUAGGAUUGUAAAAUUCUUUCACCGGGGACGAUAAUGACGGUACCCGGAGAAGAAGCCCCGGCUAACUUCGUG